GAGUUUGAUCCUGGCUCAGGAUGAACGCUGGCGGCGUGCCUAACACAUGCAAGUCGAACGGACUUUUCAUGAAGCCUAGCGAUUGAAAAGUUAGUGGCGGACGGGUGAGUAACGCGUGGGUAACCUGCCUUGUACUGGGGGACAACAGUUGGAAACGACUGCUAAUACCGCAUAAGCGCACAGCUUCGCAUGAAGCAGUGUGAAAAACUCCGGUGGUACAAGAUGGACCCGCGUCUGAUUAGCUGGUUGGUGAGGUAACGGCCCACCAAGGCGACGAUCAGUAGCCGGCCUGAGAGGGUGAACGGCCACAUUGGGACUGAGACACGGCCCAAACUCCUACGGGAGGCAGCAGUGGGGAAUAUUGCACAAUGGGGGAAACCCUGAUGCAGCAACGCCGCGUGAGUGAAGAAGUAUUUCGGUAUGUAAAGCUCUAUCAGCAGGAAAGAAAAUGACGGUACCUGACUAAGAAGCCCCGGCUAACUACGUGCCAGCAGCCGCGGUAAUACGUAGGGGGCAAGCGUUAUCCGGAUUUACUGGGUGUAAAGGGAGCGUAGACGGUUUUGCAAGUCUGAAGUGAAAGCCCGGGGCUUAACCCCGGGACUGCUUUGGAAACUGUAGAACUAGAGUGCAGGAGAGGUAAGUGGAAUUCCUAGUGUAGCGGUGAAAUGCGUAGAUAUUAGGAGGAACACCAGUGGCGAAGGCGGCUUACUGGACUGUAACUGACGUUGAGGCUCGAAAGCGUGGGGAGCAAACAGGAUUAGAUACCCUGGUAGUCCACGCCGUAAACGAUGAUUACUAGGUGUUGGUGGGUACGACCCAUCGGUGCCGCAGCAAACGCAAUAAGUAAUCCACCUGGGGAGUACGUUCGCAAGAAUGAAACUCAAAGGAAUUGACGGAA
RNAcentral lists this ribosomal RNA (898 nucleotides) under uncultured bacterium. Its description in RNAcentral is "bacterial SSU rRNA". It matches the Rfam family "Bacterial small subunit ribosomal RNA", at positions 9 to 918 of the family's 1533-position model. The record is from RNAcentral.